Molecule: long non-coding RNA, 1262 nt
Organism: Papilio polytes (common Mormon)
Lineage: Eukaryota; Metazoa; Arthropoda; Insecta; Lepidoptera; Papilionidae
Exons: 3
Source: RefSeq, a predicted model, not a curated record
UCUUCACGCCGCCGCUCGCACGCAGCCUGCGCGCUGCGCAACAGAAAACCAAUGGAAUACAGAUGGACAACAAAAUAGUUCUCUGAAAGUGGCACUUGCUUCUUGCCUUUCGGUGUAUAUUGCUUGCCAAUGAUCAGUGCAAAUUACUGCAGCAGAGUGCUCCAGAAGAUUAAACUCAAGAGAAAUAAACCUGAUUGGGUUAUUAAUGUGUUUGUGUAAUUUAUUUGCGUUCGUGAUAAGUUAUAUUUCUUUCGGAAUUCUAGAUAUUUUUAAUAUUCCGUGAAUACAAUUAUAUUAAGCCAGUUAUCAAAAACAAUCUUUUCACACAUUUUAACCACAUAUGAGAAUCAUCACGGUAUAAUGACCGGAACGGGAAAAGUAUUUUAAUUAAUUAUUUCUAAACGAAAUCACAAGCUGAAAGAAAUAUAAUUUAAAAUCAUAAAAUAAAAAUAAUUUGUACUUAUGUUGACGUUGUAUAUUCAUCAGAGGACAUAACGUGAAGAUUUGCGAGAAAGUGUUUGUAAUGUCAUCGACAAAAUUUGUAUGAGAUUGGUUACUGCAUAAAUGUUACACACAUUUUGUCUGUUGUUUCGAAUAUUUUCUAGCAAAUUUUCGUUCCGGACCUCCAGUUCCUAAUGUAUUUAGUUUAACAUUCCUAGAAUGUAUCUCGCAAGAAUCGAAUAUUUUUUACAAUUGUAAGUUAGGUGAAUGGUUUUCAUUUUAUAUUUUUUACUGUUUAGUUUUUUUAAAUUAUUUUUUAACUUUGUGCUUUUAUCGGUGCUUCAAAAGCAUUUUAUAUUUUUUGAAAUGUUUUUCUUUAAAUGUAGUUAGUAAGUAUCCUAAUACUAAACGGCGUAAAAUACGCCUUCGUUCUUAAAUUCGAAAAGGCGCAUUUCUUCUUCGAUUUCGAAGAAUCCGAGACGGCGCAUAUCCAGUUAACCGAGUUAUUAGGCCUUAGACAUCAUACAGACGGGCGAUUUUUUAAAGUAUCACGUUUAAAAGCGCUUCUGUAUCAACAGAUACAAGAGAAUAAAUUUGUCCCAUUCCAACGUUUACUUAACGCGCGGUACAAAAGCGUAAUCACGAGCCUUUAACCUUAGAAUUCCACUGAUGGGACUCUUAUUCAUCUUGUUAUCUCUUUCAUUAACUUUGAUAACAGAGACGACAUGUAAUAAAUAAAGUUAAUGCAAUUAUAAAAGGUAGAACGUGUGCACACCUGACUAAACUAUCGCACAACUGUUUAGUCGCGCUUUGAUAUGAGC